AACGCACCUUGCGCUCCUUGGUAUUCCGAGGAGCAUGCCUGUUUGAGUGUCAUGAAAUCUUCAACCCACCUCUUUCUUAGUGAAUCUGGUGGUGCUUGGUUUCUGAGCGCUGCUCUGCUUCGGCUUAGCUCGUUCGUAAUGCAUUAGCAUCCGCAAUCGAACUUCGGAUUGACUUGGCGUAAUAGACUAUUCGCUGAGGAUUCUAGUCUCUGACUAGAGCCGGGUUUGGUUAAAGGAAGCUUCUAAUCCUAAAGUCUAUUUUUUGAUUAGAUCUCAAAUCAGGUAGGACUACCCGCUGAACUUAA
Molecule: unclassified non-coding RNA, 305 nt
Filed under: uncultured Sporidiobolales
Lineage: Eukaryota; Fungi; Basidiomycota; Microbotryomycetes; Sporidiobolales
Description: sequence contains 5.8S rRNA gene, ITS2, 28S rRNA gene
Rfam family: 5.8S ribosomal RNA (bases 1-52)
Source: RNAcentral